Acanthosepion pharaonis is the source of this 93-nucleotide non-coding RNA. NCBI's taxonomy places the organism in Eukaryota, Metazoa, Mollusca, Cephalopoda, Sepiida, Sepiidae. The record is from the annotation of a GenBank genome assembly.
ACGUUGAAACACCGGUUCCCGUACGAUCACCUAAGUUAAGCAACGUCGAUCCUGGUCAGUACCUUGAUGGGUGACCAUAUGGGUAUACCAGGG